This 263-nucleotide ribosomal RNA is filed under the name uncultured bacterium. RNAcentral's name for it is "partial 16S ribosomal RNA". It matches the Rfam family "Bacterial small subunit ribosomal RNA", at positions 793 to 1055 of the family's 1533-position model. The record is from RNAcentral.
GUCCACGCCCUAAACGAUGUCAACUGGUUGUUGGGAAUUCACUUUCUCAGUAACGAAGCUAACGCGUGAAGUUGACCGCCUGGGGAGUACGGCCGCAAGGUUAAACUCAAAGGAAUUGACGGGGACCCGCACAAGCGGUGGAUGAUGUGGUUUAAUUCGAUGCAACGCGAAACCUUACCCACCUUUGACAUGUAUGGAAGGCCGCAGAGACGCGGUUUGUGCCCCGAAAGGGAGCCAUAACACAGGUGCUGCAUGGCUGUCGU